UAUGGCGCUGCGGUGCAGCGUGCGUGCGCUUUGGGUGUAGGAUGGUUUGGGCUAUGGGGUGCUUCAGCUACAAGGUGUUUUGGCUGCAGUGUAUGCCAGCUCCGGCUUAAAUAGACUUUCUUGAUUCUUAGGCUAACGUGGGCACUGGAACAGGCCUCUGCAUAGGAGUUGUGGGCGCCUCAUCCCUGGAGGUGCACAGGGCUGUGCUGGGCGGGCCCUGGCAGCCGGGUCUGAUGGGUGCCAAGCAGUGCGUGGCAGGGGUUUGGAACUUGGCUUUAGGGUCCCUUCCCACUCAACUGUUCUGUGCUUCUGUUUGGCUGUAGGGUACCCUAUGUGUACCCUGUAGUGUAGGGAGCUGGGGAUGAUAGCAGAGCUGAGGGGUGGUGAUGGGGUGUACAUCCUUGGGGGCACUUCCCAGCAGCGGGGCAGCUCCAACUGCAGCAGCAGAGGUGUUUCAGACCAACCUCUCAUUGCUUUGCUCUGUGUUUUCACCAAAGCAACGUUCGAGGUGAUCAGAAGUGGAGGAGGAUCCAGGAGCAGCCCAGCCACUGUCCUCACCUUGGGGCUGGGAGAACUCCUGCAGCGCCGGAGAGGCCGUGCGCCCUAAGGCAGACUGUGACUUGUUGUGGUGGGAUGAGCCAUACAACAACAAAAUCACUAGUCUUCCAGAGGGCACCGCGGCCAUCCUCGUCCCAUAACCACCAUUGUAGGGAUGCAGGAUGAGUGUCCUCACCCUCUGCCUCCUUUCUGCUCUGUUCUGCCUGGUCAGAAAGCCUCUUCUUCACCCUAUGGAACUCCCUGACCUGGUUUUGCUGCAUCCUCCAAAGCAAUGGUGCCUGAGUUUCCUUUACCAGAGUUUGGCCGUAUGUGGGCUGGGUGUCACCAACCAGCGUUGUUUUCAAUGCAAAAACUUCAGGAGGAUCCAGGCAAUGGGGUUCCUCAAAUAAAGAAAAGCAUCCCCUCUGUUUGCACAUGCAAUGGGCUGCUCAGGGUGCUGCUGCAGCUCUGGCUGUUGGGACUCUGGUGCACCCAUGUGCUUGCUUGGAAUGCUGUUUCCUGGGAAUUUCAUCCUGACUCGUGUUUCAUAUCCUCAAUGUGCUCGGAGUGCCGUCCUUGUGGAGGACUUUGGUGUGCUUGACAGCAGAGCCCCAGCAUCGGGAGAUCCUGGAGGUGAAUCACCUUCUUCUAAACCCCCUUCUUGGCAAAUCUCAUCCCUUUAUUCAGCUGAUAGCUUUUUGGGACCUGGCUGAAAGCUUCUCCAUCCUUCGAUGUGCAGGGUGUCCUGUGGGGUACGGAGGUGCUGAAGCUCAGCACUACAGUCAGCUCUUGCUGCUCCAGGGUCUUUGGGGAAGGUGAAUCCGGGGAGCGAUGCUAGCACGCAGCAUCCGUCCUUUUCCUUCUGCUUCUCCCCCAGCCAACACAAAGAGCCCGGCAUCAGCAGCCCUGCAAAUUCCUGCUGUUCAAAAAGUUAUAUAAUGGGCAGCCGACCUCUGCGAGACGGUUUGUGAAUUGGUUGAAAUAACAGGCCUGGCUCUCUCCUGGGAAGCUACAUGGAGGUCAGCCUUGAAGAAAAGAGCGGUACAGCAGCUCCAAGCAUUGGCAAGAAGAAAUAACUGAAGCAGAGAGACUUGAACGUAAUUACAGCCUAAGAGCUGUGAUGGGAACUCAGCGACCUGAGCCCAUCUCCUGGACUUCAGUGCAAUCAACAGAUUGACACCAGCAGCUCAUGAAGGCUGGUUUCUGGAAGUCGUGCAAUGGUACUGAAUGCCAGAGCAGGUGGAGAAGCAGCACAGGUGGCUGUUCCAAAGGCUGGAGCUAGGCAAGGGUCUCAAAUGCCAUGGAAGAAGCAGAUGGAGGCAACCACUGGAACGCUCUGUGCUUAAUUGAGGGCACCUUCAAGGGUGAGCACGAGGUGGCUGCCCACCACCGGGAUGCUCUGCUGCUGCCAUGUGAGUCUCUGUCAUUAGAACCAGGAAUGCAGUUUAUAGCUGAGUAACCACAACAACUUUGCACAAAUUAAACAACAUACUGCAGGUUAAUUAGAUUUCUUACUGCUGCCUCAAUUAACUUAGCCCUGUCAUCUGCUGUCAGAAGUGGAUGGAGACCCUUUGAAAUUCAUGGGCUGUAUCGUUGAGAGAUGGGAAUGGGAAAACCUCUCCCUGGGCAACCACACCUGUGAGUGAUGCGUGUUUGCAUGGAUGGGCAAUGCCAUCUUCUGUGCUUGGAACCCCUUUGUGUGGCAGGGGAGAGCAGCAGGAGAUGCUUUUGUCUUCCAGCAGAAUAGUGACCAAGGAGGAUUUCCCCUCUGGUGUUUCAAACUCACCUUGUCAUAAGACAAUCUUAAAAAAAAAGCAAAUAAACAUAUCUGGAGAAGUCUUCUUUUUUUUUUUCUUUUCUUUUUUAGUCAUUCCACACAACGCUGUGUGAAUGCAAAUAAAUAAAAGGGCCCACUAUGAAAACAUCUGAGAAUGCUGGUUUGUAUUUUUAAACCAAUUUCCUUCGACUGUGUCAGGGCCUGUUUUGUGUUUGCUCGACAAUUAUGUGGCUAAUGAGGACAGCCACAGCUACAUUAGGCAGGAUUAGGAAGAAUAAGGCUACAAAUGCUUCAGUGUUUAAGACAACCACUGACUAAUGGGGGGUAGGAGGGCAUGCCCCUGGAGCAGACAACUCCUCACAGGGUUUCUUAUGCUGCUUGGUUGGGCAGGAGAGAAGGGGAAGAGCAGGAGUGACAAGGGGGGCUUCUAGUCCCAUCUGCUGAGGGGUGACCAUGCCUGUGGGACAGGAGGAAGCUUAAGGUGCAAAGCAAAACAUCUCAUCCUCAAUGCCCUGCUCACAAAGAGAGCUUUGUUGAAUGGCUGGGACAGAGAUGUAAACCUGGAAGAGACUGUACUGAAUGCUCAUGAACUAACCCCAAAAAUGAGCAGGUGUGGUUGUGCAGAGAGCCCUGCUUCUCCAACAGCAUCAUGGCUUGGCUGUGUUCAUCACAAGAGAAGGUAACUGGAGACACCUCUCCCUGACAGUGGUACUGGAGAGCACGGCUCUGCAGAAUGGUUGAGGUGGCAUGGUCCCUGCUCUUCCUCCCUCUGUUUCCGUUGCUAUGCCUAUUGCCAAUUCUCCAGCUGCUUCUUUGGCCCCAAUGCUUGGUCUCGUUGCCAUGAUCCCAUGGCCUGUAGGGUUGCACUAAUCCUCCAGAUGAGGAGAGGCGCCUGCAGCUCACGGAGACCCCACAGAGACCCCAAUCCCUGGACAUAGGGCUGUUUUCACCAGCUGCAGACCAUGGUACCUUGGGGGCCAUGCCUGCCCCUACCCUGUCCCCAGUGUGUCCACAGUGCCUGUGCCUGUGAACUGAGUUCCUGAAGAAGAUGGCACGGGUGCUGAAGAGCCUCCCCUGAGUGCAGCAACUGAGUUGCACUCCGGCAGACUAAUUUACGCCCUAAUUGGUGUGGAAACGAGUGCCAGAAAGCACUGGAAUAUCGAGAAGUGAAGCUCUCCAUCUUGGCUUCCUUCAGGGAAAUGGUCUAAUUAAGAGCCUGUCUUGCAAAGAGAGAUAAUUUCCAGCUCUGUGUUGCGGUAGGAGCCAGGAUGAAGGUUGCAGCUGAUACCAUCUUCUCCUCACUGGAUCCACUUGGCUGUUGCACAGUGAGGGCAAAGCUGGGUGUAGGUUUCUCAUCUUGUGCCCAGCACCCUGUGCAUCCCAUGGGUUUGAGCUCCUUCCUCACCCAGUGCUCUACAGGACUAUGACUUAUAGCUGCAUUAGAACCCGUUUGUUCUCCCAUCACCAGGUCCCAUCACAAGAGGCUGCACCAGCUGCACAAGCCCAUUGUAGCACCGACUCUGGCGUUGACUUCAUGCCUACAAUCUCCACCAAUAUUUGCAUAGCGGUUGUGCAAACUUCACGCCAUUCAUUGACAGCCCUCGGGCUGCAGCGGGGCUUUUCCCUGCUGUAUUUGCUCUGGUUCCCUGCUGUAUUUGCUUUGGGUAAGCAGUGGUUUCACUCUCCCCAUGGCCCCUAGCCGCCUUCCAGCCUCAGCACCGCUGGUCCCAUCACCGCUGCCUGCAAAGCACGGCUGGCACAGAGACACCCCAGCCCCUUCCCCGUGGCCCCGCUGUGCACAGCUGUUCCCUUAGAAAUAGCUGUUGCCAUGGUUUUUCCAAAGAAAACACAUCUCCCCCCACAUCCCCCUCCCCGUUCCCCACCGCCACCGCUCCCCACCGCCUUAACCUUGUGACAGCAGCUAUGACGCGGCUCCCGCAGAAAGGCCACUUGGUGUAGCCAUGAGCCUGGCCUGGCCCCAGGGAGGGACUGAGGUCCAUAGGAUGCUGAUGUUUGGCCAAGGAGGAUUUGGGAAGAGAGCAGAAGCGGGGAUACCCCAGCACAACUCUCAGCAUCGCUGCAGGAUUCGGCAUCCCCAAGGAGUGGCUGCAAUGCAGGUGGCUUUCAGAGGGUGCUCGUGCAAAGCUGCUUUUCUUCCCACUGAAAUGGGCACGGGGGGAAUCAGAGGAGCUCAGCUCACAGCUGCCUUUGCCCCAGGAAGGGAGAUUUAAGGGGAGUUUUGCACAGCCCUCACUGAGAGUCACCCCUCUGCCCAGACACAGCCAAGAGAUGUUUUUGUUCAUCCCGACCCUCCCUAGUGAUUUCAACGUGUGCUGCAGCCCAUGGCACCUGGAAGACCACUGCCAGCAUCGUGUCAUCCCCCAGCAUCACACCUACAUCACCCCGGGCAUCGUGCUCUGAAAAGUGGGGUGAUGAGGGAUGACUCCGUGGACACAGUGCACACAGCUGGUGACACACGCUCCAACCAUCAUCCAUGGGGACAACCCUGGGGACAGGAGCAGGGAUGGGGAGAAGGCAGGGAUGCAGGCAGUGCUGGAGGAGAAGCAGCCCCAGCUCCAUAGCAACAGGUACUCGCCGUGUAAUGGAGUCCUUUCCGCUCGGCCUCCGCAGCCGUCAGCCUUAUUCGCAUGGCCAUAAAUAAUUCAAUUUUCUCAUUCACACACAUGAAUGCUGCGGGCCGGGGCUCCGGGUGCACUCAGCCUCCAUCUGUCCAGGGGGGAAGGGGAAG
Non-coding RNA from Phasianus colchicus (ring-necked pheasant), 5063 nucleotides. Lineage: Eukaryota; Metazoa; Chordata; Aves; Galliformes; Phasianidae. The record is from RefSeq and is a predicted model, not a curated record.